RNAcentral lists this ribosomal RNA (250 nucleotides) under uncultured bacterium. RNAcentral's name for it is "partial 16S ribosomal RNA". It matches the Rfam family "Bacterial small subunit ribosomal RNA", at positions 524 to 773 of the family's 1533-position model. The record is from RNAcentral.
UACGGAGGGUGCAAGCGUUAAUCGGAUUUAUUGGGCGUAAAGAGGGUGUAGGCGGGAGCGUAAGUCAGAUGUGAAAUUCCGGAGCUCAACUUCGGAGCUGCAUUUGAAACUGCGUUUCUUGAGGGUAGGCGGAGAAAACAGAAUUCCACAAGUAGCGGUGAAAUGCGUAGAUAUGUGGAAGAAUACCGGUGGCGAAGGCGGUUUUCUAGCUUAUUCCUGACGCUGAGACCCGAAAGCUGGGGGAGCAAAC